Xenia sp. Carnegie-2017 is the source of this 404-nucleotide long non-coding RNA. RefSeq lists it as uncharacterized. NCBI's taxonomy places the organism in Eukaryota, Metazoa, Cnidaria, Anthozoa, Malacalcyonacea, Xeniidae. The record is from RefSeq and is a predicted model, not a curated record. The transcript is spliced from 3 exons.
UAUACUUCAAAAUAAGAUUUCCGCUGGGAGACUGGUGCGAGUUUUGCAAUAUCUUCGGAAAAAAGAAACGAGAGCAUCACGAAUAACGAACAAAGAUAGAGCGAUAAACCCUGGGUAAACCUAUUAUCAAUGAGAAUAGUUUAGUGUAGGAGUUUUAUUGUGAUGAAGUUGUUGGUAUUUGAUUGAAUCAGUAUGCUAGAAAUUCAUUCUCCUCAAGAUUCUUGUUUUGGUAGUGAAUCUUGAAGAAUUAUUCCUGCUUCCUGUGGUGCAGAGUUUCGUGCUUCUUCUAGCAAUGUAUUAAGACCAUUGGAAUAUUUUCGAGCGAGUUAUCUGCUGGAACUAUGGUGUUAUCUAGAUGAAAAAGUGGAUUUUCUCGAUAAAGUGGGCUGAGUCUAUCCCAUUUC